GUUCGAGUCAACAUAGGAAUUGAGCUCGACAACUUUUUUCUACAGUUGUUACAUAUUCCUCAAUUCCGUUGGAUUUUAAGGACAUAGGUUUAUUUUUCAGCCCCCUCAUUGACAGCCUGCUGCGCGCCAGUAAUUUUAUGACAGUCGCCUCUCUCUCUCUCUCUCUCUCUCUCUCUCUCUCUCUCUCUCUCUCUCUCUCUCUCUCUCUCUCUCUCUCUCUCUCUCUCUGCCCCUAGAGGCGAAACAGCGGAGUAUUUUGUUCCUGAUGUUGGACUGCGGUAGAUGCAAGGGGAAAGGACUCUAAAUUCUUUCGUUUGUUUUUAACGUAGUUUCUACUGCUCGAUUUCGUUCGAAAUCAGGGAUGCUUCCUACGCUGUGAUUUUUGCUCCGUUCGCCUUCGCCCCCCUCCCGCCUUGCCUCCGGACCCGAAAAUGUGCGUCACACCAACUAUACAGAGGACGCGGGUAUGCCGCAGUCUGGUGUCGGAUGACGACAGUGGGGAUAUAAAUCUACCCCUGCCCAAGGAAUUUAAUCUCGUCACUCCAGUGUUUUUUCACCGUCUGAGUUAUUGAAGCUACCUGUACCUGCCAACACCACCAAUACUUGCCUGCCAGGCUGCCCUUCGCGCAAUCGUGAACCAAUCAAAAGAAACGGGCAGAGUGAUGCACAUCAAAAAAGAUCAUUCCAGCAAUGAACUGUUGAAAAUGGAAAAGGAUACCCCCCCUUCAAUGCUACCUGUUAAUGUAGCCAUUGGAGAAGGCCUUCCGGCCCUGCCUCCAUGCCAAAUGAAGUCUGGUUCCAAGGUCUCUCAAUAAGCCUCAUGGUGGUCAGAAGCACUUCUAACCCUUGGAGAACACCAACCAUGUCCAUGGCAAGGAUUCUAUUUUCUCUACAGGACUAUGAUUGGAUUAUUGUUCUGGUAGGACAUACGAGUCCUCCCCCAUUGGAUACAGUCACACUACAGGCAUCCACGUUGCAGCACUUUGAACAUUAGCAGCCAAGCUGUUAUCUGUAACGUACGUGCCAUCGCUGAUGACAUGCAGCAUGAGCUAUUGCCAAGAGUUUAGUUACGAUGGCUGCCCCAACAUCUCAGUAAACCCAACUUCAUUCUGAAAUACAGCCCUAUUCUUCUUUUGUUGAGCACUUUAUAUUUGUUUGUUGUUUAUUCUGAACUGUGGUGAUCUGUAUCCUAACCUGAAGGACAAUAAACCUGACAUCUUAAAGAA
This is a long non-coding RNA of Conger conger (European conger), 1226 nucleotides long. RefSeq lists it as uncharacterized. Lineage: Eukaryota; Metazoa; Chordata; Actinopteri; Anguilliformes; Congridae. The record is from RefSeq and is a predicted model, not a curated record. The transcript has 3 exons.